This 291-nucleotide ribosomal RNA is filed under the name uncultured bacterium. Its description in RNAcentral is "partial 16S ribosomal RNA". The record is from RNAcentral.
GGACUACCCGGGUUUCUAAUCCCGUUCGCUCCCCUGGCUUUCGCACCCGAGCGUCAGAAACGAGCCAGGACACUGCCUUCGCCUUGGUGUUCUUCCGGAUCUCUACGCAUUUCACUGCUCCACCCGGAGUUCCAUGUCCCUCUCUCGCUCUCAAGCCCGCCAGUUUUCGAAGUCGUUCACCGGUUAAGCCGUUGAUUGUCACUUCGAACUUAGCGAACCGCCUGCGUGCGCUUUACGCCCAAUAAUUCCGGACAACGCUCGCCCCCUACGUAUUACCGCGGCGGCUGGCAC